UAGCUAAUGUUAGCAAGCUAGCUAACUGUUUUGUUGUUUUUUUCCCAUCUAGUUAGUUGGUCAUCUAGAAUUUGCUAGUUAUACAUUUAGUUAUAUGUCUGUCAUAUUGAGGUAUCUAGCUAUAUGUUAACCUUGAUCAAUCAAAUGGAUAGGUGUAAGCAAUUAUGGUCAUUCCAACUGCCCUCAACUAGGUCCUUUGCUAGACAGACACACAGACAGAGAGGAUGUGGACAGCUGGACAUGUGAAAUUAUCUUUUGUUUAUCGAUCACAUUCUAUUAUAUCUCAAGUUAUUAUGAUUUCAAUGAAUGUCAUAUCAGAGAGAACACAAUGUUUCAAUUUGUCAACUUAAAGGUCAGUACCUGUCUAGCCUGACAGAAGUUUAAGAGGGUGAAGACUGUGGCGUAGGAGUUGAAGCCCAUUAGUUGUUUCACCAUGGCACAUGAUUGGGGUGGACCUCAUCGGACCCUUCACGAAAUCCAGGAAUGGCAACAGCCUGUGUCUGAUGGCGACCGAUUAUUUUACCAAGUGGGUGGAGGCAAUACCCAUUAAGGACAAGACUGGCAAGGACACCUCUAAGGCGAUGAUGGACGAUGAUGGAUCUUCAACACCCACGGUUCUCCUGAGGUCAUCUUGAGUGACCGAGGUCGUGAACUCUGGAACAAGAUACGGAUGUUAUCGGUUAUAUUCUGUCACCAAUGGUUUGGAAGAACGGACCAACCACACCCUCAAGACUGCCACGGGCAAGUCCCUUGACGGGUUCCAGGAAUGGUGGGAGGACAACCUGAAGGUCAUUCUCUUUGCACACAACAGCAGCAUCCAGGCCUCCAGAGUACUCACCCUAUCGCCUGCUGUAUGGACGGGAGCUGCAGCUGUC
This is a non-coding RNA of Salmo salar (Atlantic salmon), 875 nucleotides long. The record is from RefSeq and is a predicted model, not a curated record. NCBI's taxonomy places the organism in Eukaryota, Metazoa, Chordata, Actinopteri, Salmoniformes, Salmonidae.